AUAGACCAAAGAAACGCCCUGGAAAGGGCUUCCUGUCGGCGGAAAAAACAACCUAAUGUCCGAGAUGAAAAUGCACAUGCCCUUCAUUCAUCAGGCAAGCUUAAAGUGUUUUAACCAUGAUAGUCGGUACCGUCAAAACCAUUAAGCUGACAUAUGUUUGGACAACUUUGGUUCACCAGACAACCCAACUAGCUCUAACUAUACAGCAUUAUCGCAUGAUGCGUCAACAUUUCCUGCUACAACUACGGUCACAUCUGGUCUCAUUAAUGAAAAUGAAAUACAAGGUAAUCAUAUUUUGCCUACUCAUUCAACAAUGGCUGGCAUGUUUCUGUUAUAUUCUCUAAUUUUAGGGUUUGCCCUGAAUGACACCAGAUGCAAAUGUGAUCAUGUAUGACACCCAAGAAACAGAGCAUAAAACGGAAGAAGAAAGCAAGAGAGGCCAUAGAAACACACUGAGAAGGGCUUCAUAUCGGCGGAAAAAACAACCUAAUGUCCGAGAUGAAAAUGCACGGACCCUUCUUUUAUCAGACAACCCAACCAGCUCUAAAACAUUUCCUGGUUCAAAUACGGUCUCAUCUGGACUCAUCUAUGACAACGAGCUUCAAGAAACAGAGCAAAAAACGGAAGAAGAACGCAAGAGAGACCAUAGAAACGCCCUGAGGAGGGCUUCCUAUCGGCGG
Molecule: long non-coding RNA, 680 nt
Organism: Aegilops tauschii subsp. strangulata
Lineage: Eukaryota; Viridiplantae; Streptophyta; Magnoliopsida; Poales; Poaceae
Source: RefSeq, a predicted model, not a curated record